CUGACGCAAAGAAAUCUGUUACCUGUGAAGAUCUCUUCUCUAUACUUCUUGUGGCCUAUCUCGAGUGAAAAACAAUGAAGCAUUACAUGCCUAUUGUCCGUGAGAAGCCAACAAUCGAGCUUGUAGAGCUCACUUCAGACAUGAAAUUGUUUGAAGCUUACAACACGAUUCGUCUAGCACGUUCAAUGAAGAGACAUGCAGGUGCUAGAGCAAAGAGAGCUUCAAAAGCUGAGAAUGAAGAGAAGAAUUGACAAGUCUAUUCUUCUCAAUGUAGAAGAAGAAACUUUCAUCUUUAUCAUCGUUUAGAGUUACUUUUAUGUAUCUGACUUUUUUUCUUUAUCUUGGAUUUUGCUGCUCUACCUAUUCAGUCUUUAUGGAAACGACCAUCUCUUUUCUU
Molecule: long non-coding RNA, 397 nt
Organism: Camelina sativa (false flax)
Lineage: Eukaryota; Viridiplantae; Streptophyta; Magnoliopsida; Brassicales; Brassicaceae
Source: RefSeq, a predicted model, not a curated record